RNAcentral lists this ribosomal RNA (489 nucleotides) under Bacillus pumilus. Its description in RNAcentral is "bacterial SSU rRNA". It matches the Rfam family "Bacterial small subunit ribosomal RNA", at positions 555 to 1042 of the family's 1533-position model. Lineage: Bacteria; Bacillati; Bacillota; Bacilli; Caryophanales; Bacillaceae. The record is from RNAcentral.
UNGGCGUAAAGGGCUNGCAGGNGGUUUNUUAAGUCUGAUGUGAAAGCCCCCGGCUCAACCGGGGAGGGUCAUUGGAAACUGGGAAACNUGAGUGCAGAAGAGGAGAGUGGAAUUCCACGUGUAGCGGUGAAAUGCGUAGAGAUGUGGAGGAACACCAGUGGCGAAGGCGACUCUCUGGUCUGUAACUGACGCUGAGGAGCGAAAGCGUGGGGAGCGAACAGGAUUAGAUACCCUGGUAGUCCACGCCGUAAACGAUGAGUGCUAAGUGUUAGGGGGUUUCCGCCCCUUAGUGCUGCAGCUAACGCAUUAAGCACUCCGCCUGGGGAGUACGGUCGCAAGACUGAAACUCAAAGGAAUUGACGGGGGCCCGCACAAGCGGUGGAGCAUGUGGUUUAAUUCGAAGCAACGCGAAGAACCUUACCAGGUCUUGACAUCCUCUGACAACCCUAGAGAUAGGGCUUUCCCUUCGGGGACAGAGUGACAGGUGGU